GAGGAAAAAUUGUACACAGAAAUGAUUCCCACCAGCCUGUGUGCGGACGUGUGUGUGUGUGCGCGCUGUAGUAGUUCUGUCCUUGUGAGGCCCGACUUUAGAGGGAUUCGAGUGAGAUUGUUUUGGACUUUUUGCUGCGUCACACACGAGCAACACGAGGUGUGUCGGCUAGAAUGAGGUUAAGAGCAAAGCCGGGUUGAAGCAAUUAAAGUAGUUUGGGUUAAAGUAAAGUCAUUUAAUGUCAGUCACAGGUUGGUCCUCACAAGACUGAUCUGCACUGCGCGUGUGUGUGUGUGUGUUUUCCCUGUUGUGGAGGUGCAAAGCCAUUUGUUUUAGCUGAUGAUAAAGGCACCAGUACAUUUGGAGCGACAGAGUAGGGAAUUAUAAGAACGUGUGUGUGGAACUGGAAUUGGAACCGGCACGGCUCGGGCCCCGAGGAACGCACGCACACACACACACACACACACGCACAACUCAUACUAGUAACGCUGUGAUGUAGCUUCACCAGACAACUCAAACGCACUUAUCCUUUGUCUUUCUCUCCGACUGUGAUCGAUAGACGCACACACAUCCAGGCUGCCAUGUAAGCUCAGCUACGCCCCGUUUUAAAGAGGUCACUUUCACACAAACACCGUGUGUUUAUACCAGAGAUUCCCAGUGACCAUCAGUUACAGGACGUUAAAAUCAGCAGCACGGAAGGAGGAAAAGAAAAGCCAAAAGCCGAAAAUGACCUCGAGAACGUCUUGUAGCUCAGCGACUGCUUUGGUUUGUCCGUGACAAUAUGCCAGAAAUCAUAAUAUUACCAUCAGUCAAAUUAGGGAGAGAGCUAUUAGACAUCUAGUUAUAAUAAUUUGGGUGUGUUCAUGUGUGUGGGAAGGUGAGGUGGUCUCUGCAUGAAGGGAAACCACGGCCUGAUCCACAAAAGUGGAAGAGCAAAUAUGCAUAUAAAGAUUUAUAUAUACAUUGGAUGUCUUUUUAACUGUGGGUGUGUGUGUGUGUGUGAGAGAGAGAUGGAGAGAAAUAAAGGC
Long non-coding RNA from Gasterosteus aculeatus aculeatus (three-spined stickleback), 1028 nucleotides. Lineage: Eukaryota; Metazoa; Chordata; Actinopteri; Perciformes; Gasterosteidae. The record is from Ensembl.